CGGUGGAGCAUGUGGUUUAAUUCGAUGCAACGCGAAGAACCUUACCUGGGCUUGACAUCCCGGGAAUCCCUUGGAACAAGGAGUGCCUUCGGGGAACCUGGAGACAGGUGCUGCAUGGCUGUCGUCAGCUCGUGUCGUGAGAUGUUCGGUUAAGUCCGCUAACGAGCGCAACCCUCGCUGUGUGUUACAAGUGUCACACGGUACUGCCGAUAUUAAGUCGGAGGAAGGUGGGGAUGACGUCAAGUCAGCAUGACCUUUAUAUCCAGGGCUACACACACGCUACAAUGGCCAGUACAAUGGGUUGCCAAGCCGCGAGGCGGAGCCAAUCCUAAAAAGCUGGCCUCAGUUCAGAUUGCAGUCUGCAACUCGACUGCAUGAAGUUGGAGUUGCUAGUAACCGCAGGUCAGCAAUACUGCGGUGAAUACGUUCCCGGGGAUU
RNAcentral lists this ribosomal RNA (438 nucleotides) under uncultured Lysobacteraceae bacterium. RNAcentral describes it as "bacterial SSU rRNA". It matches the Rfam family "Bacterial small subunit ribosomal RNA", at positions 930 to 1378 of the family's 1533-position model. Lineage: Bacteria; Pseudomonadati; Pseudomonadota; Gammaproteobacteria; Lysobacterales; Lysobacteraceae. The record is from RNAcentral.